Molecule: ribosomal RNA, 468 nt
Filed under: uncultured bacterium
Lineage: Bacteria
Description: partial 16S ribosomal RNA
Rfam family: Bacterial small subunit ribosomal RNA
Source: RNAcentral
GACGAACGCUGGCGGCGUGCUUAACACAUGCAAGUCGAACGGAAAGGCCCUGCUUUUGUUGGUUUCUCGAGUGGCGCACAGGUGAGUAACACGUGAGUAUCCUGCCCUUGACUUUGGGAUAAAUUCAGGAAACUUGGGCUCAUACCGCAUAGAAUCUCCUGCUCCAUGGGGUUGGUUGGAGAAUUUCGGCGGUAGUGUCUUGACUCGCUGCUUAUCAGCUUGUUUGUGUGGUAGUGGCUGACCAAGGCUUUGACGGGUAGCCGGCAUGAGAGGGUUACCGGCGACAUUGGGACUGAGAGACGGCCCAGACUCCUACGGGAGGCAGCAGGGGGGAAUAUUGCAAAAUGGGCGGAAGCCUGAUGCAGCAACGCCGCGUGCGGGAUGACGGCCUUCGGGUGGUAAACAGCUUUCGAAUGUGACGAAGAGUGAGUGACGGUAAUGGGUAAAGAAGCAACGGCUAACUACGUG